This 501-nucleotide ribosomal RNA is filed under the name uncultured bacterium. RNAcentral describes it as "partial 16S ribosomal RNA". It matches the Rfam family "Bacterial small subunit ribosomal RNA", at positions 30 to 523 of the family's 1533-position model. The record is from RNAcentral.
AUUGAACGCUGGCGGCAGGCUUAACACAUGCAAGUCGAGCGGGGGAAGGUAGCUUGCUACCGGACCUAGCGGCGGACGGGUGAGUAAUGCUUAGGAAUCUGCCUAUUAGUGGGGGACAACAUCUCGAAAGGGAUGCUAAUACCGCAUACGUCCUACGGGAGAAAGCAGGGGAUCUUCGGACCUUGCGCUAAUAGAUGAGCCUAAGUCGGAUUAGGUAGUUGGCGGGGUAAAGGCCUACCAAGGCGGCGAUCUGUAGCGGGUCUGAGAGGAUGCACCGCCACAGUGGGACUGAGACACGGCGCAGACUCCUACGGGAGGCAGCAGUGGGGAAUAUUGGACAAUGGGGGGAACCCUGAUCCAGCCAUGCCGCGUGUGUGAAGAAGGCCUUAUGGUUGUAAAGCACUUUAAGCGAGGAGGAGGCUACUCUAGUUAAUACCUAGGGAUAGUGGACGUUACUCGCAGAAUAAGCACCGGCUAACUCUGUGCCAGCAGCCGCAGUAA